This is a non-coding RNA of Penaeus vannamei (Pacific white shrimp), 285 nucleotides long. Lineage: Eukaryota; Metazoa; Arthropoda; Malacostraca; Decapoda; Penaeidae. The record is from RefSeq and is a predicted model, not a curated record.
CGGGCCGGUCGCAGGUUCUCUCCGCGGCCUGAGUCGAGCCCGAGAAGGAAACGGAGGUCAGUGCGACGCCAGACACGGCGGAGAGAGGACGUGGGGGUAUUGUCGUGCUUUUUUUCGUACCUUGAAUUACAGUGUUCGCUGGAAUAAGGGAGAAAAGUGGCGAGCCCAUCAAGAUACAUAUUAAAAAAGGACAGAAAACUUGACAAGACAAUAAAGGCAAGACGCAAGCGAUAUCUACAAGACUGAGAGAUUGAUCCAAAAGAAAGAAGACGAGUGACUUUGGAA